AUGAAAAGCUUCUAUGAGAAAGUAAGGAUCAAGAUUGCCUGUAGAAAUCCAGCUAAAAUUUUGUUUGACAGAAUUAUGGAGAUGACGAAGAAAUUAUACAUUCUAUCUUUCACUAUGGAAGGCUUUAAACAUAUAGGAGUUGAUGACCCUAAUGGUGACAAUGGACCUGCUGACAUCUCUGUGGAUAAGGAUAACAAGGAACUGGGGAGUGAGGAACUUGAUAAAGUUCUUCGGGAAGAUGGAGAGAUGAUAUUGACCUUCCUAAUAAAGCUACCACCUCUAAGAACUCGUCUGCAUAUAAAGCAACAAGAAUAG
RNAcentral lists this ribosomal RNA (315 nucleotides) under Triticum aestivum (bread wheat). RNAcentral describes it as "partial small subunit ribosomal RNA". Lineage: Eukaryota; Viridiplantae; Streptophyta; Magnoliopsida; Poales; Poaceae. The record is from RNAcentral.